CUUGAAAACGUGAGGUUUUACAAGGAGGAAGAGAAGAAUGACCCCGAGUUUGCCAAGAAGUUGGCUUCUCUUGCAGAUCUCUAUGUUAACGAUGCCUUUGGAACUGCUCACAGAGCCCACGCUUCCACUGAGGGUGUGGCUAAGUACUUGAAACCUUCUGUUGCUGGUUUCCUUAUGCAGAAGGUUUGUUGUAUUUUAUCAUCUUUCUUGUUGAGAAUGGAAAUAGAAAUCAACACUCGAUCACUUUUGGUUGUUAUUGUGAAAAUGCUUGAUGGGGCAACUAAUGGUGUGCUUUUGGUUUAGGAACUUGACUACUUGGUCGGAGCUGUGUCUAAUCCUAAGAGACCAUUUGCUGCAAUUGUUGGUGGUUCAAAGGUGUCUUCAAAGAUUGGAGUGAUUGAAUCCUUGUUGGAAAAGGUUAAUCUUCUUGUUCUUGGUGGAGGAAUGAUCUUUACCUUCUACAAGGCCCAAGGACUUGCAGUGGGUAAAUCACUUGUGGAAGAAGACAAGCUUGACCUUGCUACCUCGCUCAUUGAGAAGGCAAAAGCCAAGGGAGUUUCUCUUUUGCUUCCAACCGACGUAGUGGUAGCAGAUAAAUUUGCUGCUGAUGCUGACAGCAAGGUUUGUAGUUAACUUUUUUUCAAUCAAAAAAGCUGUACAAAAAAUAAAAAUAAACAUAAAACAUAAACAAACUGAACAAAAACUUUUUUCAAUCGAAGAUGGUACCAUUUUCAACUUCGACAUUCUCUCAUUGCAAGUAGUUUUUCCAUCCUCUUUCAGGUUGUGGCAGCAUCAAGUAUUCCAGAUGGCUGGAUGGGUUUGGAUAUUGGGCCUGAUUCUAUCAAGAGUUUUGGUGAAGCUUUGGAUUCUACC
This 873-nucleotide long non-coding RNA is filed under the name Cucumis sativus (cucumber). RNAcentral describes it as "long non-coding RNA (CSAT_LNC002791)". The record is from RNAcentral. Lineage: Eukaryota; Viridiplantae; Streptophyta; Magnoliopsida; Cucurbitales; Cucurbitaceae.